UUAGUCUCUACUUUAUCUCAUAACUAUUCAUUGAGAUGACCAUACACUGACUUCUCUUAGACCAACGAUGCAAAGCUCAGCCAGAAAAUUUCUCAUGUCAUCUUGUGUUGCCCUUUGUCUGUGGUGAAUGCAUGACAUUCCCGUACUAGUUCAUUCCACAACGCAAACCCAUCACGUACUUCCCAUUCCCUACCUCCACCUCAUACAUGCCAAUGUCGAGUGGACUCGAACCCCUCCAAUGACAACGCCGACCAUUCCCUUCAAGGACAACGCCGGUCAGUCUUGUUUAAGUUCUCAGUGAGAGGCCUUUCAAGCGGUUUUGGUGUAAAACCUACCUCGCGUGCAAAAAGUCCAGCUACCCUUUAUGAGGUUUCAGCUUCCCAUAAAGUAUUUGAGAGCAUCAUAGGCGAAAAGGCCACUUGUGCCUGGUGCAUUUUGUUUGUUUGUCGUGCGAGUCUUCAGCUUUACCCUACAAACAAGUUUGAUCAUGCCAUUCUUGCUUGACUCCUCUACCCUCUGCAAGAACAGUGGCUUCACAUGGGUUUGUGGAGAUUCUUGCAAUCUCUAAAGGGGGUUCUCGGUUUGUUUGUUGUAGAGGAAAAUUUCCAAUAAAUUCAACAUGCCCAAACCGAGGAAACCCACCCCUACAAAUUUAUGCAAGCCUCACACCAUUGUCUCCAACUCUACCCAUAAAAGCCGUAACACCCAUAUGUUGGCCACCACGGGUUUGGAGACGCACUCCUACUAGCAAUUAUUAGCACUCCAUGGAUGAUACCAAAACCAUUUGUGAUAAGGAAUUGUGGAAUAAUGUGAUGAAGGAUAUCUUCAUCGAGAUGUUGUAUGGAGAAAGCUUGACCGGUACAUUGAGAGGUGGCAAAAUCACAAAUAGAGACCAUGCUAGGUGUGCUUAAUGGAUGUCUGGAGUUGGUGUAUAGGUAUAUGAUGCAACCCCAGUGCAGGAAAAACUACAAAGGCUUAAGCCAAAACAACACCUAUCAAUAACCUAUUGAUCCAAAUUGGUAUGGGUUGGGAGCCUAACACCAAAACAACACUUGGCAGAGACGAACACUGGGCCAAUGCAUUAAAGGUGAAACCUACAUAGAAACAAUUCAAGACCUUUAGAUGCCCUAAAUAAGAUAUGCUCUACAUCAUUUUUGGUGCCACUGGGGCACAUGCAUCAAUGCAAGAACCCCCAACCCAAUGACGAUGAACAACAGCUUGAGAAGGAGAUGUGAUAACGGGGCCCUGUACUGGACAAUUGAUAAGGAUUACCCAUUGAUGUUGAUGACAUGACAUGUCCAUGCAAGCAAGGACACCAUCAUCCAUGACAUCUACUUUUUUCUCACAUCAGUGACAGAAGGGUGGCCUCCAUGUAGGUGCUAACACAAAUUAGCAACUGCCUCGAUCAGCUCACGCAUAAUGCUGUAGCAAGAGAAAAGUGCAAUGAGGAUAGAUAUGGGACAAUGUCUACGAAGAUCAAUAUAAUAUUGCAAUAUUGAAUGGAUAUUCACAAAAUUGUAGACAUAUGCAUUUCACACUUUAUGCAACAUGUUAAGUUAACAUUAUAUUAUGAAAUCUACAUGAGGGGUGAAGAUGGAAUUGGUAGUCAUAUUUUUCCUUCUGGUUGGUCAUGCAAAGAGACAAUACUUUGUGGGGGCCAGUUUCAACAUUCCAAUGAAACCAUUAAUCUACAUGUCAAGGUAGUGAUGUGGGUUCUAUGUGAGCUUGAGAGACAAUUGAUUGCACCAACGCACUAUGACACCCCCAGACCCUGCUUGGAAUUUGAUGGA
This is a long non-coding RNA of Carya illinoinensis, 1790 nucleotides long. RefSeq lists it as uncharacterized. The transcript has 3 exons. The record is from RefSeq and is a predicted model, not a curated record. Lineage: Eukaryota; Viridiplantae; Streptophyta; Magnoliopsida; Fagales; Juglandaceae.